This 76-nucleotide transfer RNA is filed under the name Caudoviricetes sp. Its description in RNAcentral is "tRNA-Pro". It matches the Rfam family "tRNA". Rfam says of the family: Transfer RNA (tRNA) molecules are approximately 80 nucleotides in length. Their secondary structure includes four short double-helical elements and three loops (D, anti-codon, and T loops). Lineage: Duplodnaviria; Heunggongvirae; Uroviricota; Caudoviricetes. The record is from RNAcentral.
CAGAGUGUAGCCCAGCUAGGUCUAAGGCGCGUGCUUUGGGAGCACGAAUUCGCAGGUUCGAAUCCUGUCACUCUGA